GGAAGGAUCAUUACUGAAAUAGUAAUUCUUUUGAAAGGUCUUCGAGUAGGCUGCAAGGCCCAAAGAACCUCUCUCACCCUUGUGUACCUUACCAUGUUGCUUUGGCGGGCCGACCCGGUUUCGACCCGGGCGGCCGGCGCCCCCAGCCCUCACGGGCCAGGACGCUUGGCUAAGUGCCCGCCAGUAUACAAAACUCAAGCGAUUAAUUUCGUGAAGUCCUGAUAUAUCAUUUAAUUGAUUAAAACUUUCAACAACGGAUCUCUUGGUUCUGGCAUCGAUGAAGAACGCAGCGAAAUGCGAUAAGUAAUGUGAAUUGCAGAAUUCAGUGAAUCAUCGAAUCUUUGAACGCACAUUGCGCCCUCUGGUAUUCCGGAGGGCAUGCCUGUUCGAGCGUCAUUUCAACCCUCAAGCUCUGCUUGGUAUUGGGGCGACGUCCGCUGCCGGACGCGCCUCGAAGACCUGGGCGACGGCGUCUUAGCCUCGAGCGUAGUAGUAAUAUCUCGCUCUGGAGUGCUGGACGACGGCCGCCGGACAAUCGACCUUCGGUCUAAUUUUUCCAAGGUUGACCUC
This 570-nucleotide ribosomal RNA is filed under the name Guignardia sp. RNAcentral's name for it is "partial 18S ribosomal RNA". The stretch from base 243 to 396 matches the Rfam family "5.8S ribosomal RNA". The record is from RNAcentral. Lineage: Eukaryota; Fungi; Ascomycota; Dothideomycetes; Botryosphaeriales; Phyllostictaceae.